This 266-nucleotide ribosomal RNA is filed under the name uncultured bacterium. RNAcentral describes it as "partial 16S ribosomal RNA". It matches the Rfam family "Bacterial small subunit ribosomal RNA", at positions 793 to 1055 of the family's 1533-position model. The record is from RNAcentral.
GUCCACGCUGUAAACGUUGCGAACUAGGUGUCGGGGUAUUCACCCCUCCCGGUGCCGAAGCUAACGUCUUAAGUUCGCCGCCUGGGAAGUACGGCCGCAAGGCUAAAACUCAAAGGAAUUGACGGGGGCCCGCACAAGCGGUGGAGCAUGUGGUUCAAUUCGAUGCAACGCGAAGAACCUUACCUGGGCUUGACAUCCCGAGAAUCCCCCAGAAAUGGGGGAGUGCCCGUAAGGGAACUCGGAGACAGGUGCUGCAUGGCUGUCGU